This 865-nucleotide ribosomal RNA is filed under the name uncultured bacterium. Its description in RNAcentral is "bacterial SSU rRNA". It matches the Rfam family "Bacterial small subunit ribosomal RNA", at positions 9 to 873 of the family's 1533-position model. The record is from RNAcentral.
AGAGUUUGAUCCUGGCUCAGAUUGAACGCUGGCGGCAGGCCUAACACAUGCAAGUCGAACGGUAACAGGAAGAAGCUUGCUUCUUUGCUGACGAGUGGCGGACGGGUGAGUAAUGUCUGGGAAACUGCCUGAUGGAGGGGGAUAACUACUGGAAACGGUAGCUAAUACCGCAUAACGUCGCAAGACCAAAGAGGGGGACCUUCGGGCCUCUUGCCAUCGGAUGUGCCCAGAUGGGAUUAGCUAGUAGGUGGGGUAACGGCUCACCUAGGCGACGAUCCCUAGCUGGUCUGAGAGGAUGACCAGCCACACUGGAACUGAGACACGGUCCAGAUUCCUACGGGAGGCAGCAGUGGGGAAUAUUGCACAAUGGGCGCAAGCCUGAUGCAGCCAUGCCGCGUGUAUGAAGAAGGCCUUCGGGUUGUAAAGUACUUUCAGCGGGGAGGAAGGGAGUAAAGUUAAUACCUUUGCUCAUUGACGUUACCCGCAGAAGAAGCACCGGCUAACUCCGUGCCAGCAGCCGCGGUAAUACGGAGGGUGCAAGCGUUAAUCGGAAUUACUGGGCGUAAAGCGCACGCAGGCGGUUUGUUAAGUCAGAUGUGAAAUCCCCGGGCUCAACCUGGGAACUGCAUCUGAUACUGGCAAGCUUGAGUCUCGUAGAGGGGGGUAGAAUUCCAGUGUAGCGGUGGAAUGCGUAGAGAUCUGGAGGAAUACCGGUGGCGAAGCGCCCUCUGGACGAAGACUGACGCUCAGUGCGAAAGCGUGGGAGCAAACAGAUUAGAUACCCUGNAGUCACGCGUAAACGAUGUCGACUUGAGUUGUGCCCUGAGGCGUGGCUUCNGANCUACGCGUAAGUCGACGCUGGGAG